This 575-nucleotide long non-coding RNA is filed under the name Gallus gallus (chicken). The record is from RNAcentral. Lineage: Eukaryota; Metazoa; Chordata; Aves; Galliformes; Phasianidae.
CAAAAUUUCAGCUGCAAUGUAGUGUCCAUUACUAUGAUAUAGCCCAAGUUCUUGCUCCUCUUACCUCUCCACAAAGGACUUAGCCCUGCCUUGCUCUUGGUAAGGGCAGUUUCUGGAUUGAAGCUACUGGCUUGGCUCAAGGCUCUUGAGAAGUGUUCAUCCACUACUGAACCAAUAUCUCCCUGGAAGUAGGUGAAAAGGACGCAGCGAGAGUUCAGGUACUCCAUCUCAGCUGGCUGAUCCUUCUCAUCCUCUUCUUGCUUGCUGGGAAGUGUCACUUCCAGAGACUCCUGCAUCUUGUUGUAUGCAGCUAAUUUCUUCUGCGGGCAGCCCCUCGCGGGCGGACCCAUGUAGCGGGGCACCCCGCACGCCGCCGGGCCGGGCUGCUGCAUGGCCACGUCCGAGCAGCUCAUGGCCGCAGCCGCGGUCGCCCCGCGCCGCCACCGCCUUCUUCCCCCUCCUCCUCCUCUUCCUCCUCCUCCGCGCGGGGCGGCCGCGGCGGGGCCCCGCGCAGCGCCGACUGCCAGAGCAUCUUCGGCGGCCGCCGCGUCCCGCGCCCGCACUUAUAGCGCGGC